AUUGAACGCUGGCGGCAGGCCUAACACAUGCAAGUCGAGCGAGCGGCGGACGGGUGAGUAAUGUCUGGGAAACUGCCUGAUGGCGGGGGAUAACUACUGGAAACGGUAGCUACUACCGCAUACCAUCAGAUUUGCCCAGAUGGGAUUGGCUAGUAGGGGGGGUAAUGGCUCACCUAGGCGACGAUCCCUAGCUGGUCUGAGAGGAUGACCAGCCACUCUGGAACUGUGAAACGGUCCAGACUCUGAGGGGAGGCAGCAGUGGGGAAUAUUGGACAAUGGGGGCAAGCCUGCUGCAGCAAGGCCGCGUGGUUGAAGAAGGCCUUCGGGUGUUAAAGCACUUUCAGCGGGGAGGCGUUACCCGAAUAAGAAGCACCGGCUAACUCCGUGCCAGCAGCCGCGGUAAUUC
RNAcentral lists this ribosomal RNA (406 nucleotides) under uncultured bacterium. Its description in RNAcentral is "partial 16S ribosomal RNA". It matches the Rfam family "Bacterial small subunit ribosomal RNA", at positions 30 to 526 of the family's 1533-position model. The record is from RNAcentral.